AGUGACGAUAGCCUAGGAGAUACACCUGUACCCAUGCCGAACACAGCAGUUAAGCCCUAGAACGCCGGAAGUAGUUGGGGGUUGCCCCCUGUGAGAUAUGGAAGUCGCU
This 109-nucleotide ribosomal RNA is filed under the name Streptococcus oralis. The record is from RNAcentral. Lineage: Bacteria; Bacillati; Bacillota; Bacilli; Lactobacillales; Streptococcaceae. RNAcentral also lists the same sequence under 1 other name.